UUAGAGUUUGAUCCUGGCUCAGAUUGAACGCUGGCGGCAGGCCUAACACAUGCAAGUCGAGCGGUAGAGAGAAGCUUGCUUCUCUUGAGAGCGGCGGACGGGUGAGUAAUGCCUAGGAAUCUGCCUGGUAGUGGGGGAUAACGUUCGGAAACGGACGCUAAUACCGCAUACGUCCUACGGGAGAAAGCAGGGGACCUUCGGGCCUUGCGCUAUCAGAUGAGCCUAGGUCGGAUUAGCUAGUUGGUGAGGUAAUGGCUCACCAAGGCGACGAUCCGUAACUGGUCUGAGAGGAUGAUCAGUCACACUGGAACUGAGACACGGUCCAGACUCCUACGGGAGGCAGCAGUGGGGAAUAUUGGACAAUGGGCGAAAGCCUGAUCCAGCCAUGCCGCGUGUGUGAAGAAGGUCUUCGGAUUGUAAAGCACUUUAAGUUGGGAGGAAGGGCAGUUACCUAAUACGUGAUUGUUUUGACGUUACCGACAGAAUAAGCACCGGCUAACUCUGUGCCAGCAGCCGCGGUAAUACAGAGGGUGCAAGCGUUAAUCGGAAUUACUGGGCGUAAAGCGCGCGUAGGUGGUUAGUUAAGUUGGAUGUGAAAUCCCCGGGCUCAACCUGGGAACUGCAUUCAAAACUGACUGACUAGAGUAUGGUAGAGGGUGGUGGAAUUUCCUGUGUAGCGGUGAAAUGCGUAGAUAUAGGAAGGAACACCAGUGGCGAAGGCGACCACCUGGACUGAUACUGACACUGAGGUGCGAAAGCGUGGGAGCAACCNG
This 773-nucleotide ribosomal RNA is filed under the name Pseudomonas sp. BND-YA8. Its description in RNAcentral is "bacterial SSU rRNA". It matches the Rfam family "Bacterial small subunit ribosomal RNA", at positions 1 to 775 of the family's 1533-position model. The record is from RNAcentral. Lineage: Bacteria; Pseudomonadati; Pseudomonadota; Gammaproteobacteria; Pseudomonadales; Pseudomonadaceae.